AGAUGGCCGGAUGGCCGCUGCCUCACACAGUGGGGGAGAGGAAAGUCCGGGCUCCACGGAAGCACGGUGCCGGAUAACGUCCGGCGAAGGUAACUUCAGGGACAGUGCCACAGAAAGCAAACCGCCUCGCUUGCGGGGUAAGGGUGAAAGGGUGUGGUAAGAGCACACCGCCCGUCUGGUAACAGCCGGGGCAGGGUAAACCCCACCGGGAGCAAAACCAAAUAGGAAUGACCGCUGUUUUCGGGACAGAGCCCCGCUUCCGGGGUGUUAUUCGGGUUGGUUGCAAGAGGCGGCGGGUAACCGUCGUCGUAGAUGAAUGGUCAUCCCCUGUUUGACAGGGACAGAACCCGGCUUACAGGCCAUCUG
Molecule: RNase P RNA, 366 nt
Filed under: marine eukaryotic metagenome
Description: Bacterial RNase P class A
Rfam family: Bacterial RNase P class A
About the family: Ribonuclease P (RNase P) is a ubiquitous endoribonuclease, found in archaea, bacteria and eukarya as well as chloroplasts and mitochondria. Its best characterised activity is the generation of mature 5'-ends of tRNAs by cleaving the 5'-leader elements of precursor-tRNAs.
Source: RNAcentral